UACGGAGGGUGCAAGCGUUAUCCGGAUUCACUGGGUUUAAAGGGAGCGUAGGUGGGCUUGUAAGUCAGCGGUGAAAUCCCCGAGCUUAACUUGGGAACUGCCAUUGAUACUACAAGUCUUGAAUUCUGUGGAGGUAAGCGGAAUAUAUCAUGUAGCGGUGAAAUGCUUAGAUAUGAUAUAGAACACCGAUAGCGAAGGCAGCUUACUACGCAGAUAUUGACACUGAGGCUCGAAAGCGUGGGGAUCAAACAGG
This 253-nucleotide ribosomal RNA is filed under the name uncultured bacterium. RNAcentral describes it as "partial 16S ribosomal RNA". It matches the Rfam family "Bacterial small subunit ribosomal RNA", at positions 524 to 776 of the family's 1533-position model. The record is from RNAcentral.